RNAcentral lists this ribosomal RNA (465 nucleotides) under uncultured bacterium. RNAcentral's name for it is "partial 16S ribosomal RNA". It matches the Rfam family "Bacterial small subunit ribosomal RNA", at positions 28 to 507 of the family's 1533-position model. The record is from RNAcentral.
GACGAACGCUGGCGGCGUGCUUAACACAUGCAAGUCGAACGGAAAGGCCCCUUUGGGGGUACUCGAGUGGCGAACGGGUGAGUAACACGUGAGUAACCUGCCCUUGACUUCGGGAUAACUUCAGGAAACUGGGGCUAAUACCGGAUAGGAAUCCUUGCUGCAUGGUGGGGGUUGGGAAGCUUCGGCGGUUUUGGAUGGACUCGCGGCUUAUCAGCUCGUUGGUGGGGUAGUGGCUUACCAAGGCUCUGAGGGGUAGCCGGCCUGAGAGGGCGACCGGCCACAUUGGGACUGAGAUACGGCCCAGACUCCGACGGGAGGCAGCAGGGGGGAAUAUUGCACAAGGGGCGGAAGCCUGAUGCAGCAACGCCGCGUGCGGGAUAACGGCCUUCGGGUUGUAGACCGCUUUCAGCAGGGGCGAAGCUUGUGGUGACGGUACCUGCAGAAGAAGCACCGGCUAACUACGUG